This 1208-nucleotide long non-coding RNA is filed under the name Actinidia chinensis (golden kiwifruit). RNAcentral's name for it is "long non-coding RNA (ACHI_LNC006971)". Lineage: Eukaryota; Viridiplantae; Streptophyta; Magnoliopsida; Ericales; Actinidiaceae. The record is from RNAcentral.
AUCACUCUGUUGAAUUUUUUGUUCAACCAAUUUUUUGGGGUCAAAAUAGAGCCUUUUAAGUGAAAGCUUAAGCUUACCUCAAACCUAUCAAAGCCAUUCAUUAGUAGUGGUGGGGAGGAGGAGGUGAAGUGUAUAAGUAAUGAUGAGGUGGCGGUGGUGGCGGUGGGGAUUUGUAUUUGUAAGGGUGAUGUGGUGGUGGGUAGUGCGGUGGUGGUGGUGGUGGUGGGGAUUUGUAUUUGUAAGGGUGAUGCGGCGGUGGGUAGUGCACUGGUGGUGGUGGUGGUGGUGGUGAUGGUGGUGGUGGCGGUGGCGGUGGGGAUUUGUAUUUGUAAGGGUGAUGUGGUGGUGGGUAGUGCGGUGGUGGGUAGUGCACUGGUGGUGGUGGUGGUGGCGGUGGGGAUUUGUAUUUGUAAGGGUGAUGUGGUGGUGGGUAGUGCACUGGUGGUGGUGGUGUUUGUGGUGGUUGCUGUGGUUUUUUGUAUUUGUAAUUUAUUCGUGGUGGGUUGGUGAUUUGCGGUGGUGUGGUAGUUCACUUGUGGUGGUGCGGCGGCGGCGGGGACUUGUAUUUGUAAGGGUGAUGUGGUGGUGAGUAGUGCACGGGAGGCGGUGGUGGCGGGGGCGUGGACUUGUACUUGUAAGGUGUGCGUGGUGAGUAGUGCAUGGGUUGGCGGCGGCGGGGACCUUGUAUUUGUAAGGGUGAUGUGGUGUUAGUAGUGCACGGGUGGUGGCGGCGGCGCCGGCGGGGACUUGUAUUUGUAAGGGUGAUGUGUGGUUGAGUAGUGGCACGGGUGUGCGGUGGCGGCGGGGAUUUUGUAUUUGUAAGGUGAUGCGGUGGUGAGUAGUGCACGGGUGGUGGUGGUGGUGGUGGGGACUUAUAUUUGUAAGGGUGAUGCGGUGGUGAGUAGUGCACGGGUGGAGGCGGCGGCGGUGGGGACUUAUAUUUGUAAGGGUGAUGCGGUGGUAAGUAGUGCACUGGUGGCGGUGGUGGCGGUGAUUUGUAGUGAUAAGGAGGAGGUGGUGGUGGCGACUUGGGAGGUGGUGGAGGAGAUUUGUAGUAAUAAUUAGCAGUGGUUUCCAAUGGCAAAGUGAGAGACACUAUUGCCACUAGGAGAGUGGUGAUGAGAGAGGCCAUUUUAGGCCUCAUUCCUUUCGUUCCCAUCUUCACCACAAAAUCGAUUUUUGGUUAUGCUCUUAACCCUCCCUCUCCA